This 187-nucleotide small RNA is filed under the name Chrysemys picta bellii (western painted turtle). Its description in RNAcentral is "TUC338 (ENSCPBG00000002189.1)". The record is from RNAcentral. Lineage: Eukaryota; Metazoa; Chordata; Testudines; Emydidae.
CAGACAACUCUGGAGAGUGAAGUUCUUCAUUUAUCCUCAGCACCAAUACAGCAUGGAUAGCAGCACUGCACACUCCCCCUGCCUCUAUGCUGCUCUCUGCCAAUGUGUCACAAACCAGACCUGUAGGGACUACCUUUAGGGGUGAAAUGGAGUUCUAGCUCCAUAGCCCAUUCAGUCCUUGGUCACU